RNAcentral lists this ribosomal RNA (253 nucleotides) under uncultured bacterium. RNAcentral describes it as "partial 16S ribosomal RNA". It matches the Rfam family "Bacterial small subunit ribosomal RNA", at positions 524 to 776 of the family's 1533-position model. The record is from RNAcentral.
GACAGAGGGUGCAAACGUUGCUCGGAAUUACUGGGCGUAAAGAGCGUGUAGGCGGCCCGGUAAGUCCGUUGUGAAAGUCCAGGGCUCAACCCUGGAAAGCCGAUGGAUACUGCCGGGCUAGAGUUCGGAAGAGGCGAGUGGAAUUCCUGGUGUAGCGGUGGAAUGCGCAGAUAUCAGGAGGAACACCUAUAGCGAAGGCAGCUCGCUGGGACGACACUGACGCUGAGACGCGAAAGCGUGGGGAGCGAACAGG